Molecule: ribosomal RNA, 256 nt
Filed under: uncultured bacterium
Lineage: Bacteria
Description: partial 16S ribosomal RNA
Rfam family: Bacterial small subunit ribosomal RNA
Source: RNAcentral
UAAUACGGGGGGGGCAAGCGUUGUUCGGAAUUACUGGGCGUAAAGGGCGCGUAGGCGGCUGAGCAGGUCCGGUGUGAAAUCCCUCGGCUCAACUGAGGAAUUGCGCUGGAAACCGCUUGGCUCGAGUACAGGAGAGGAGGGCGGAAUUCCCGGUGUAGCGGUGAAAUGCGUAGAUAUCGGGAAGAACACCGGUGGCGAAGGCGGCUCUCUGGACUGUAACUGACGCUGAGGCGCGAAAGCGUGGGGAGCGAACGGG